AGAUAUAUAGCUCAGUGGUAGAGUGCCUGCCUUGCAUGCAUGAAGUCCUGGUUUCAAGCUCCAGUACAAUAA
Molecule: transfer RNA, 72 nt
Filed under: Ictidomys tridecemlineatus (thirteen-lined ground squirrel)
Lineage: Eukaryota; Metazoa; Chordata; Mammalia; Rodentia; Sciuridae
Description: Spermophilus tridecemlineatus (thirteen-lined ground squirrel) tRNA
Rfam family: tRNA
About the family: Transfer RNA (tRNA) molecules are approximately 80 nucleotides in length. Their secondary structure includes four short double-helical elements and three loops (D, anti-codon, and T loops).
Source: Rfam by way of RNAcentral